UCUUGAUGGACAAAAAAAAAAAAAAAAAUCAACCAGACUAUGAUAAUUAUUUCCCACAAACUGGAGUUAUCUAUUCCCUAUACUUAUGCAUUUGGGUAUUUUUCUAUGUUGGUUCUGUGUUUUUUUUUUAAAUCUUUGAAAAGCUGGGAGAUUUGUGAACAAGAUAAUAUGUCUUCUUUAAACAUAAUAAAUAUUACAAUAGGUAUCCACAAU
Molecule: non-coding RNA, 213 nt
Organism: Biomphalaria pfeifferi
Lineage: Eukaryota; Metazoa; Mollusca; Gastropoda; Planorbidae
Source: the annotation of a GenBank genome assembly